CGUCCCCGCCCGGCGCGGAGGCUGCGGCGCGUCCAUGCGGCCCCGGCUCCGGACCGCAGACCCGCAGCGAGCGCGGGGCGGCGCGGGAUGGGGAAGCUGCAGUCCAAGCUCGCCUGCAAGCGGAGGGGGAGCCCGGAAGGGGACAGCUCUGCGGGGUCCGCGUUCGCCGGCGGCCGCCAGGGCGCGGAGGAGGCGGAGCGGCGCGCUGCAGGCGGCCUGGAGCACCGCGCGCGGGACAAGCAGGUAGGCGGCCCGCGGGCCGGAGAUGCGGGCCCAGUGGCCGGGCGGGAGAUGUUCCGGGGACCAGGACAGCCUGUCCCUACACGGCCUCCAGGAUGUCCCAGGCUGCGGUGUCCCGUGCUGAGGGGGGCGGGGUAUAGCGGUUCUGAGGUCCUAGUCUGGGGGAGGUGUCUAUGUUUGAGGCUACAGGAGCUUGGAAAGGGGCAGAGAGGAGGGUCUGGGCCUAGGUGCCCCAGGCAGGGCUCCUGUGGGGCCGGACCU
Molecule: non-coding RNA, 501 nt
Organism: Microcebus murinus (gray mouse lemur)
Lineage: Eukaryota; Metazoa; Chordata; Mammalia; Primates; Cheirogaleidae
Source: RefSeq, a predicted model, not a curated record